CCUACGGGAGGCUGCAGUGGGGAAUAUUGGACAAUGGGGGCAACCCUGAUCCAGCCAUGCCGCGUGUGUGAAGAAGGCCCUCGGGUUGUAAAGCACUUUCAGUGAGGAAGAACGCCUGGUGGUGAAUACCCAUCAGGAAAGACAUCACUCACAGAAGAAGCACCGGCUAACUCCGUGCCAGCAGCCGCGGUAAUACGGAGGGUGCGAGCGUUAAUCGGAAUUACUGGGCGUAAAGCGCGCGUAGGUGGCUUGAUAAGCCGGUUGUGAAAGCCCCGGGCUCAACCUGGGAACGGCAUCCGGAACUGUCAAGCUAGAGUGCAGGAGAGGAAGGUAGAAUUCCCGGUGUAGCGGUGAAAUGCGUAGAGAUCGGGAGGAAUACCAGUGGCGAAGGCGGCCUUCUGGACUGACACUGACACUGAGGUGCGAAAGCGUGGGUAGCAAACAGGAUUAGAUACCCCAGUAGUC
This 465-nucleotide ribosomal RNA is filed under the name Vreelandella stevensii. RNAcentral's name for it is "partial 16S ribosomal RNA". It matches the Rfam family "Bacterial small subunit ribosomal RNA", at positions 338 to 795 of the family's 1533-position model. The record is from RNAcentral. Lineage: Bacteria; Pseudomonadati; Pseudomonadota; Gammaproteobacteria; Oceanospirillales; Halomonadaceae.